CGGCCCUCGCCUGGCACGGAGACCUGGCUGCGAGACCCGGAGCGUGGCUUUGAUUCCGGCGCCUGCGUGUCAGCCGCGCAGCGUGGCCGGGGAAGCUGGCCUCGCGCCGCGGUCCCCCUGAUGGGCCUGCGAGGAAGACGCUUUGAAAUAGAGCGGAGCUGGGAAAGCUCCUGCGAGGGACGACCGCCCCUUGAGGCUGGAAGUGUAGUGAAAGCCAGGCCUAGCAGCACAUGCCCAUAAUCAUGGCACUUGGAGGUCAGAGGCAGGAGGAUCAAGUGUCCAUAGCCAUUUUGGGCUAUGUGAGACUUUCUCAAG
RNAcentral lists this long non-coding RNA (315 nucleotides) under Cricetulus griseus (Chinese hamster). RNAcentral's name for it is "lncRNA (ENSCGRG00015020786.2)". Lineage: Eukaryota; Metazoa; Chordata; Mammalia; Rodentia; Cricetidae. The record is from RNAcentral.